This 543-nucleotide long non-coding RNA is filed under the name Vitis vinifera (wine grape). Its description in RNAcentral is "long non-coding RNA (VVIN_LNC000729)". The record is from RNAcentral. Lineage: Eukaryota; Viridiplantae; Streptophyta; Magnoliopsida; Vitales; Vitaceae.
AUUGUUGCUUCAAGAUGUUGUUGUUCCAUUUGCAAGCCAUAUUCACAAGAUUGGAGCUGCAUCUAUAGAUUUGAGAGCUCAGAUAUUUAAAAUUCCCCUUUUCAGGACAUUCUUGCAACAUAAGGAAUGGGAAUUUUGUGCAAAGGAGAAUAUCAAGAGACUUGAACCUAGACCUACCCAAACACUGCCCCACUCCUUUAAGCAAGCCUUGAGGGUUAGGUUUAGUCGAUUCUUGAGUCAACUCAACAUUCAGUUGAAGUUUCUCUUCCGGCAAAUACAUUGACAGCCUCCCUGUGCUGUUUGAUUACAGAUGAAUGUUAUUAUUGAUGGAAUCUUCUCCUUAUAGGGAAGUUUUCAUUGAUAAACGGCCUACUUGAUGUCUUCACCUCCUGUACUGAAUCUAAUAUCCAAAGUUAGAGCUAGACUCAAAUGAUUCGGAGAGGGCAUAGGAUUCAAUCAUCUUGUGUGUGGGUGCAUGAGUUGUUUUAUCCCUUAAAUUUUUGUCCAAUAUUUGGCGAUGAUGACUUAAGAACUACUAUCAAG